AUUGCAUUUAACAGAAAAAGAGUACUUUGUGGCAAAUAAACCAAGAUUUUUAUAGAAAAUCCACAGCCUUUAAUAAAGAGAUUUUUGUUAUAAAAUUUGAAACAUAGAUUACUCACUUGCUUUUCUAUGAUGUGCUAGUGUUUAUUUUUUACAAAAAGUUCUAACCAACCUGUAAAUUCCAAAAUACCUCGUGCUGAGUCACUAAAGUCGAGCGCACCAUAAAAGGUGUACUUGAAUUGGUCCAUAUUUUUAUUUGUUCUAACCAAUAACUACAUUAAUAAACUUGUUUUAAGGAAAUCAAUGCUAGCACUGCAUGCAAUAAUCCUAUAUCUAU
This 334-nucleotide long non-coding RNA is filed under the name Mytilus galloprovincialis (Mediterranean mussel). Lineage: Eukaryota; Metazoa; Mollusca; Bivalvia; Mytilida; Mytilidae. The record is from RNAcentral.